CCCUUAGAUGUUCUGGCCUGCACGCGCGCUACACUGAAGCUAUCAACACGUUUUCCCUCCCUGAGAAGGGCGGGUAACCUUUUGAAUCAGCUUCGUGGUAGGGAUCGGGGCUUGCAAUUGUUCCCCGUGAACCAGGAAUUCCUAGUAGACGCGAGUCAUAAGCUCGCAUCGAUUAAGUCCCUGCCCUUUGUACACACCGCCCGUCGCUACUACCGAUUGAACGUUUUAGUGAGGCAUUUGGACCGACGCAUCUCAGUUUAACCGCUGGUUUGUGUUGGAAAGACUUCCAAACUUGAGCGUUUAGAGGAAGUAAAAGUCGUAACA
This 324-nucleotide ribosomal RNA is filed under the name uncultured eukaryote. Its description in RNAcentral is "partial 18S ribosomal RNA". It matches the Rfam family "Eukaryotic small subunit ribosomal RNA", at positions 1470 to 1796 of the family's 1831-position model. The record is from RNAcentral.